Monomorium pharaonis (pharaoh ant) is the source of this 10779-nucleotide long non-coding RNA. RefSeq lists it as uncharacterized. The record is from RefSeq and is a predicted model, not a curated record. NCBI's taxonomy places the organism in Eukaryota, Metazoa, Arthropoda, Insecta, Hymenoptera, Formicidae. The transcript has 2 exons.
AUAUAUUACAUUUUUUUUUUUAGUGUACGUAUUUAACAUAAAUGUAUGUUUAUAUUGAAAAUACAAUAUUAAAGCUUUUGAAAUGUAUUUAACAGUAUCACAUGAUCCUUUUGCGCUUUCCUUUUAUAUAAUGUUCUCAUAAGUGUUAUUGUUCGAUAAUUUGGUAAUGGUAAAUCGAUACUUAACGCUGGCCAAUUUGCCAGAACUUUGAGUUACGAUCAGUUACCAGUUAAUGAGUGUUCAUGCUAAGGUAAACAGCGUCUUCAAACGUAGGGCUAUUGUCGGAGAUGCUAUGUCAUAUUGAUGGCAACAAGAUACGCCCGUGGACACAAACGGCAAGGAAGUCCCGUCAGCUACGUAACAUUAAACACUUCCACGGGCCAAGGUGGUGCAAGUGAAAUUACGAGCGGUUCGUUGGAGAGUUUAACUUCAAGGCUCUUGAAACGACGUACCUAUAUACGAGAUGUUCGUUUCAUUUCCAUCACCGGCAGUUACCUAUCCGUAUGUAUUCUUAGGUCGUAGGAAGCGGUUUCUUUUUCAAAUGGAAGUCAAAUAAUUUUAGGAUCCAUCUGUGUGAAAUACGACGUGUGUGCUGAAGCAUUUUCAAGAACGUUUAAAAGCAAUAUUUAUUAGAGUUGUGAUAUCAAAACUGGUACUAUAAGAUUAUUGAAAUCAAUUAUUUUUCUCAGAAAUUAUAAAGAUUUAGAUCAAGUAAAUAUAUAUAAUUUCAUGAAUUGCUAGUAGUAAUUAUGCACGUUAACGAGAAACGUAUGUUUCUCAAUAUUAUCUCUGAUAGCAUUUUGCGUAUCAAAUGAAAUGACCUCUCAACGCUCUUCAGAUUCUUUUUUAAGGAUUUAAUCGAUCCCCCUGCUAUUCAACUUCGGUUCCAACAAAAUGUUCGUUUCUCUGCCAUUGCGCGAGAUAUCGCAUUGGAGCAGGGAAAACAGGUCACCCUGUACGGGGGUGAGAGAAACAGAAAGCGCUUCGGGCCACGUAGCGUGUUCAACAGCAAGCAGAGAGAGAGAGAGAGAGAGGUAGAGAGAGAAAGGAAGAGGGGAAGGGGGAGAAAAGGAGAGGAAUGAGGGGCAACAGGAUAAAGUAACGUUGGAACGAGAAGGGGGUGAAGGCAGUGGAGGAAGACGCGGUGGAAGUUAGGUAUAGAUUAUUGUUAGAAGGUUGUUGAGCCAGCAAUAUAUCUUUGGAACUCUGCCUCGCUCUCUAUGAACUCGCCUUUCUACUACGCUAGGUACAUACCUCACUAGACGCGACUCUCAACGCGAGUAGACACCCACGUUGCCAAUGCCUGGAACGUCUAACCCUUCGGAGACUAGCUGCUUGCCGCAGGGGCGCAUCUGCGUGACGGCCAGCGCGACUUAAUCCCCUCGAUGGGAAUAAUCGUUCGUAGACACCGUCCAUACCUCAGGAGACGUCCGCAGACCACGUUUUCGAGCUCCUAGAACGGUAGCGGUAAAAACUUAUCGGCGUUUUUCAUCCGCAUUAGUUUUUACCGCGUUUGGUCGAUAAUGCAUCGUUAUUCGAUAACGCCGGGACGUAGCGUCCGUUAGAUUCCCGUCGGGUGUUAUUGGCACACCGGGGGAUUGAAACAUUGGGCGCAGUUUGCAGGCCGCUUCACGUCCCAAUUUCAUAUAAACGGUUAAGCCUCUGGGUUUCUGAGGAAUCCGUCCCUGAGCCUCAACGCCGUUUCAUUCUCUUUAUUUUCCCGGGCAUCCCGUGUCAGCUGAUUCGCCCUAGAGGAAGGAUAUCCCCGUUGUAUGCCUGGUCGGCGCAACGGCGGAAUCCAAUGUGAUUCCCGACGCCGCUGUACUUUAAUAAGAGACGUAAGGGAGAGAAAGAGAGACGCGCUUAGGGGCCGCGAUAAAUGCGCCACGAUAAAUAAGAAUUAAGCUAGCCCCAUUGCGUUCAGUGGGCGUGAAGCAAAGGUAAACGAAGGGAGAGAAAAAGAGACGCUAGUAAAGAUUGACAGGUUGGACUGUUGCCGGGGGGAAAACCGUCAGACUAUUUCGCAUUCACUCCACUUUCUGUUCUCAUGGUUUGGCACCGUUUCCUACUCCUCAAUAUCGAUUGGUCGGAGAAACAAGUGAAUGUAUCACGUAUGUUCGGUUUACUAAGAAUUUUUCAUUUUAGCAGAAUAAUAUUGUUUGAAGAGAAUAAUUAAUAUUUCUGUACUGGCAUUAAUUAUUGAUGUCAAUUAUUUGAGUCGUAAUUAAGGUACUGAAAAUACUGAAAAUAUUGAAAAGAAUGUAAUAAAUUUGAUAAAUAAAUUAGAUUUGUAUUUGAUUUUUAUUAAUUAAUUAUACCCAAUUGGAAUACUGAUUAAGAGUCCGUUUUCUUCAGAUACGUGAAAAUUUUUAAUAUUCUAAAUAUUUGUAGAAAUAUUCAGCAAUAGAAAUAAUAGAUAUAUGAAGUUAUCUUUUGUUAAUAUGUGUAUUUUUGCUAUAUAGGUAUAAUUGAUCGUCGUAGCAAAUAUAAUUAUUUUAAUCUUUAUAUUUUAACAAUUUAUACUUGACAUUGUUACCAGUACAAUUUUAUUAUUAAUCCAAUAAUUUUGUUAUUUUAUUGUCAUAUUAUUUGAAAUUUUAGUUAUUUAAAGUGAGAGGAUUGAAUAUAAACCGAAUAAAGUUGCUCGGUAAAAAUUAUAAUAGAUGAAUGAACAGUACAAUAAAUUAUAUACAAAAUUUUAAAAUAUAUUUAUUAUCCAAUAAUGUACCAAUUUUUAUAUUUUUAAAUAAAGUAAGUUUCAUAUUGCAUGUCAAUUUUGUGCGCGUUUAUGCGAUGGGAAUUAUUACGCUUUGCUUGAAUAAGAAAUAACGUAAUCUUCAUUUAUUUUAAUUCCUUUUUCGAACAUGUUCUCAAUUUUUCUUUCUCAUGAAACUCACAAUCAACCCUCAAUUGCUUUUGUUUCCUGUCCAACUUCUCGUCAACGAAUUAAUCAAAUACGUUCUGACAGUUUCCUUGAAGGCGUUUCAGAGUAAAAUUUAAACUUGUUGAAGUAGGUUGUUUAAACUGCAGCUUUUAAAUUUCCUUUCUCAUCGAGUCACGGUGUCGGGCGAGGGCUGCACGCGAUGAAUAUUUCACAAAAUAAAAUAAUAGGCAGAUAUCAUGAGAUUACGUGUAAAAGAGGUGCUAUCGUUAUGAAUCUCGUUAUUCGCAACAACUAUCCUGCCGUAAAGUGUUAAUCGAUUGUAUCGAGUGCUCAAGGCAACGGUGUCCAGGUCGACCGUUCGAUCACGAUUUACGAUCGAUAAAUGUCACUUAAAAUGCCACCUCGCUGUAGAAAAAAGUAGAACGCGGCAACCGUGCGGCCGUAACCGCCGUAAAAUAUACUAACACCGAAAAAUGUAACUGGAAUUUAUGAGUUGAGAGUGAAACGAAAUUUUGUAUAACGCGCGUCGGAUAAAAUAUGUACGUGAUUUUUCUCAUUAUUCUGUUUAUGCCGCCGGGGGGAAAAAAAGAGAUGUACUUAUCGCAACGGUAACCAGCGCCGGCUUGUUAUUGCGAGAACAUUUAUCUGCUGCAAAACACAGCGAUAAUGGCAAAGAAAUGAGUACUUUUCUCCGGUAUUUUUCUUUUUUUUCCGUCUACUGAUAAGAUUUGUCUUGUAUAUAAAUAUAUAUAUAGAGAAAGAGAGAGAGAGAGAGAGAGAAAAUGGGAGAGAAAACUUGCAAUUUUGGCAACUUUAUUUUACGUCGAAAUUUCUCCUUUUCAAUGUCCGUCGUAGACCUUGCCGGUUUCAAAACGUAAUGCGACGCAGAUGCAAUUCUAUGUAAACGUGAAACCCAAUUCAAGCAAGAUUAUUAUUCCAUUUAAUCGCUCGAAAAUAUCCGCCGUUGUCGAGGUCAAGGAUUAAAAGCUCGUUGAAACGGCUCAUCCAGUACGUAGCUUUUCAUUCCGCAAAAGCGCUUGUUUUCGAUAGCGGGAUGGAUUUUCAAUCUACACGUAUUUCAUGACACAUUCGACGAAGUAAAUAUUAUUUAAUAAACGAUACGAGCGCAGAAACAGCGGAAAACGGGAACGGGAUGGAAAGUCGAGCCGAAUGCAAGGAAAAACGCACUUCGCUCCCAAGAGUGUAACCGGUUAUACGAAGGAGAAAAUGAAGGGUGUGGAAGGGAAAAAAGGAGAGAAGAAAAAGUACGACGCCCACACGGGCAAGGAAACCAGGUCCUUGAGGCAGUUUUACGUUGGGUUGCAACUAUGUCGCAAAGCAAAUUGGAUCCGAUGACAUGAGCGGGGAAUAAUGCAAAAACAUGUUCUUUUAUGGUAACUCGCAGGAGACGAUAUCAACAAUUUCUCACCGAUCUACUUGCCGCGAACCUACUCUUUUUAUUUUGCUCUUUAAACGGAUCACAUUAUCACCGUCUCUUCUCGUUUUCUGCGAAAAAAAAAAAAAAAAAAAAAAAACGAGAGUUAGAAAAGGAGCCGGUUCCGCCACUUUAGAUUUCGCUAAUACAACUGCACUUUUAGAUAGAAUUAAUGUUACUAAAAUUCAACAGAGAUAAUCAACAUAAAUUCAGCGAAAUAAUGUCUCGCGAUAAUAAAUUGUAUUCACGAGAUAUUAAUCGCGACAUAAUAAUGAAUUGCCCUGUUACAAAGUUUUCUUGAGAUCAAGAUUUCCACGAGACUCACGACAAGCGUAACUUUUGUGACGCGUUUUUGAAUUUUAAUAAUUUUAUCGUGUGAAUGAGUAACGAGACUAAAAUAUAUAUUUUUUUAAAUUUAUAUAAAUUUAUUUUUUAUGGUACAUUCGUGGAAUAUAUAGGUAUGUUAAUUUGGACUAAAGUAAAAUAAGUUAUAACAUUAAAAUUUUUUUAAGUUCGAAUUUAAUUCGAAGAUAAUUGAUUUAAAGUUAAUUAAAACAAACACACGUCAAUAAAUUAUUGAUGUUUUGAAGUAUAUAAUUCUCACUAACAUAAUAAAUUACUUAACAUUUUAUCAAUUUUCAGAAUUAAUGUCAAUGCAUAAUACUAUUAAUUAAAAUAUUCCGUCACCGCCUCUUCUGAUCUUUUCAUAAUACUUUAUAGGUGAUAAUUUAAAUAUACGCAUCAAUAAUUUUACAAUAUUUCGUUAUAAUGAUAUCUCCGAGAAAGUUAAUUUCUUUAGCUUUUUAAGUCCGAAUAAUCUGCCGUUAUAAUACUACAGAGGAAUUACAGAGUGUCCGUCGUGCAUGUUACCUUCUCAUUAUUCUUACUUUGCUUAGGGCGCUCUCCGCUUCUCCGACGCGCGAGAAUUUCCACUUUGUUCUUUGAGUUUCAUCCGUGGAAUUCCCUGGUAGCCUUUCGGCGAUUAGAGAUCUAGGAUUAGUUAGUAAUGUCGGAAGGGACCCUUCGGCGUCGAAUUGCAUUUAACAACUGAAUGAACGAGAACGAAUUUAAGGAAGACUAAGGGCUCUUUCAUCGAAAUAGUUUUCGAUGCCUGAAUCCAAGUGGCGUUUCGCGGAUGCCGCAUGCCGUUUCACAGCAGCAAAUGAAUUACACUUGCAAUGUGCACAUAUGUACGAAUAAAAUCUGAGUUUUGUAGUUUUCUAUAUAUUUGUAAUCAUAUACAUUAUUAAGUAUUUUUAUAGAUAAAAUAUAAAAUACAGAGUUUUAUAUUAUUACAUAUAAGAAAUUAAAAACAUAUUUUUUAAAAUAAUGAGAUAUAACGAGAUUGUAUUGUAUCAGCAGCAUUUCUUUCAUAUUGUAAUAAAAAGAUGUUAAUACCAAAGAAUUAAUCAAUGCCGAAGAAGAUAUCAACACGCGAUAAAAAUUUCCUGAACAAUUGACUUGUAUUUCUCACAAGAUAAUAAUUAUUUUCGUUAAUGUAAGGAUGUGUCUACUCAUAUACAUAAUAAUUAAAAAAAUACAAAUAAGUAAUUUCCGUAAAAAAUUGUGUUACAAGCGUAAUCUAUUUAGAAUAAAACAUUCAUUUGUUUGAUCCGAUGACAAUCCAUACAUACUUUUCAAAACGUAAUGAGUUUCUUUUUGCGACUUCGACUACGUUAACAAUGUACACAGAGAAAUUAGAACAAACGAGAAUAGCUUUAGUCUUGAAAUUUUCUCGAAAGCUUUGGCCUCGUUUCACAAGAUACUCCGCAACGUGACGCCGUUCCUCUUUCCGUCACGGAAAUCCGCAGCUUUCUAAACGUUGAGGUAAGUCUCUGAACCAUUACGUAACUAAUUUUAGCUAUCCCCUCGACACUGCAUUUUGUUAAUGACACAUCAUACACAUUGGUUGCCUGUUGUAUUAUCGGUAAAUUAUGAAUUUAAAUAAUUUCGAUUAAUAUUAAUUACGUUUGCAAGUAAACAAGGGUGGAAAUUAAUCUAGAAACAAUAUAUAAUAAUAAAGAAUGUAAUAUAAUCAUCCGUUUCAAAUUUUAACAACAGAUGUAAUGCAUUAAUAGAUGUAAUCUAAUUAGGGCGUUCUGCUUUAAUGAUUCUGCUUUCAGAAACUUUUUCUUUUAAAUCAAAAUAAAUAUUUAAUAUUGUUGAAACUAUCAUAUAUUUGAAUAAGAAAUUUAUUCAAAACAGUAAUAGAGAGUUGUAAAAAAAGAUGAGACACAAUUCGACUUAGUGAUAAACAGAACGCUUUGAUUUUGAAUAAUCUUCAUAAAUCUCAUUAGAAUUUAUGAAAAACGUGCAUUACCAAUAACUAUAUCCACAAAUUUUAAUUAAAACUAACUUUAUAUUGAAGAAUUGACGAAUUAUUUAGCUAUAUUUAACUCUUACAAUUCUUCGUUUUGUUUUUUAAAUAAUUGUUUAAAUUUGCUUUUUAACAAUAUAAAUGUAUGUAUGUAACAAAAUUCGUUUUCGACUGCGGAACAUUCUUUGGCACUUUGCUCAAGAACAGAAAAAGCCGAAAGUUAAACGACUGAUCGUUUUAUCGAUGGAAGAACAAAGCUGUCCAAAGACAAUCCUUCGGGAACGAACACGUGUGCAUUACAGGAGCGUUUAGUGCUUAUCGAGAGAAAGCAGGUCAGUCGUUGAGCUUUUCAUAUUAGAUAACUGUAAAAGAGGUAUUUCACGAAGGCUGUGCUUACAAAUUUAGAAAAGUCAUAAUAUAAUAGAAAAUGUGAAUUUAAAUUAAAAUGCUUAUUAUAUUAAAGAAUUUUUAAUAAAACAUUUUCAUUUAUUCGCGGAAGGCAUCAGAAAUAGAUCGCGUGACUUUUCACUUAAUUUCUUUCGAUAUUGGAAAAAGUAUAUAGAAGCACACAGGAAGGAGUGAUAUUUAAACAAUAUGAAAAAAAGUUGCUUUAUACGCUCUAAAUAAAAUUUUUCUCUGCAUAAAUAAUUUGCGACAUACAACGCGCUUGACAUAAAUAAGUUUGUAGUUGACCCGAUUGUUCAUUUCAUAAUAAAUUUACAUGAUUGUAUUUGGUAAUAUAAAAAUAUAUAUAUUUUUUAAAAAACUUUUUUUUAGCUUUUAUGGAAAUACGUUUGUAAUUUUUAUUAAAAAUGCAUAGAAUAAGUCGUGCAGUAUCACAGCGACCGUACAAACUUUAAUAUAAAGGAUAAUAGUCCUUUAUUACAGGCGGCUGUUCUUCACAUUUAUUUAUAUUUUUUUCAAAACUUAAUAUUCUUUACUUUAUUUUAACAAUAGGAAAAUUCUUUUCUAAUUCCAAACUCUGAGAGACGAUGGAUUUACGAGCACGACGGACUCGUGGAAGUCGCGUCCGGCAUUUGAUUUCAAGUGUCGACGCUUGUCCCAAGUUUUUUCCCCGUCGAGGAUAAGAGCGAGGCUCGUGCCGGCGACGCGACUAGAACUUUUUUCUAUUCGGCGAAAUACCGACUCCCGAAGAAGCCAAUCAGUUACUCGCUUCUCACCAUAACCUUGGCCGCUUUCCACUGUUUACCACGCUCCGGCUCAGUUCCGUCGCGAGGGCACGUUGUUUCGUGUUUUAUUUAUCCCGCGUACAGUGCGCGAGAUUUCAGUGUCGUGAAGUGCGUGGCGUUCGACGCACGUUCGCGGUUCACUUCGCAGCGUCCGUCGCUCGUAUCCGACGGUGGCACGGUGUGUUUCGCGUUCGUCGUUUCGUCGAUGUGACACGUUAAUUGAGCUCUCAAAAGCGAUGCUCGAGCCUCCCUCGCGCAUACGUCGCGGUCAGUCUCUUUUUUUCCAAAAAGUGUAUCGCGCGAGCUCGCAAUUCGUUUCCCCUUUCCGUUACUUCCGCAUUUUCUGAAGGUUAAGUUUUUCCCGUCGGGACGAAAUAUUGUUUAUCUCGUGCGUCUUUUUAUCCGUCGCAAGCGUAUUAUCGCGAAGAACGAAGAACAAGUAACUUGGUGUGUUCGUCAGUCCGAUAGGUAUGAGAAACAGAGGCAACGUCGUGUAUGUGAAAUGCGCGGAGAAUAUUCAGUGUCGUGAAGUGCGUCGCGCUCGAUGCACGCAUCGCGUCUCACUUCGCAGCGCGCGUCCGUCGCAUCAUUGUCCGUUGGCGAUAUCGCGUUCUUCGUUUUGCGUUAAUUAAGAUUUGAAAAGUGAUGUCCGAGCCUCACUUGUGUCCUAUCGCUGCUAGUUUCUCUUCGACAAACCGUUUCCCCUUCCAUUAUUUCUCGUAAAUACCUCAGUCCCGUCGCGAAGACGGGAGGAAGUAUGCGGGAUCGGAGUGCCCGUCGGAAUUCGCGAUUUCACUUCUCCUUACUCUUUUAUUUAACGUUUUCAAGUGGACGUCACAUGCGAACGAGUAUCGGGGACUGAAUCGGGCAAACAGGCGAUCACUCCGCGUGCCUUUCGGUUCGCGCGAUCAUGUAAAAUUCGUAAGUGACGAGAACCUAACCUAACCUAACCUAAUCGUCCGGUCGCUUGCAUUUACGGCGAUGUAUGUCACGCGAGUGUUAGUGAUGGUGCGGUAGCAAUCAAGGAUACACAUACUGCAGCACAGCAAGGAAAGGGACAUCCGGAAGGCAAUUGUGACGCAGCUGAGCGAGUCCGGAACAGUGAGAUGCGGGCGAGAAUAUCGCAUUCGGGAAUGCAGCGAUAUAAUCCCCCAGCUUCAAUGGAUAAUGAUGAUGAUGAUGAUGCCGGAAACUGGCCCGCCAAAACUUAACAGCACGCAAGUGGAAAGUGAGAGCCACUCUCGGCCACACUCAUUGAGACUUCGUUCCUACAGUUUCGGUAAGCUCGAUAUCGCGUGACGAAACUUAUUGGAAAAGUUCCUCUCUCCUCUUCCCUUUCUCACGAGAGUCGGAAGUACGUUCGAGUGGAUUUGUCGUUGUUACGGAAUAAGGAUGAAACACUUGAAAUAUACAAUAUUGUGGUAAUAAAGAUGGACUUUCGUAAUGAGAAAGAAAGAGGGAAACGUUUCGUACGCAUGCCGUCCCUUCGCGGAAGUUCGAAUCGGCACGGCGCGCUGGUUAUUGGAAAAGUUUCCUUUCCACCGAUAAAACCUCUUAAUUCAUGGUGAUUUCCCAUUGGCAGGUGCUAACUUAAUAAUCUCCUCGGAUUGCCGGAAAAUUACGACAUAGAUUAAAACAUAAACUUUCGCUCUAUAUAUCAAGAGUGAAAGGCAAUUUUAAAUACAACUACAAUUGCGUUGCGGAAAUGGUAGCCUCAAUUGUGUCCGUAUUGUUUGACAUUUAUUUUAACUUCUGUCAUUCAUUUCGAUUCCUUAAAUUCUUUUACGAUAUGAAAUAACUGUAUGCUAUGAUAAAAAAUGUAACGAUGUAACGCGCUUUUAAUUUCUUAUUACAUAUGAAAUAUGAGAGACAAAGAGAGAUGGGAAGGGAAGGGGGAUACAGUUCUGUAAAGUAUUCUCUUUAUUUAAGGAUUAGGUGGCUGCAAUUAGAAGCAGACGUUACUCUUGAUAAAAUAGUCACGAAUUUCGUAGAAUUUCUCGGAAUAAUUACUGUCUUGGUCAAAAGAAGGCAAGCAUUAUUCUUUAAAUGAACAUUAACCUUUAUGCACGAUAAUAGUCCAAUUCGAAAUUUAUUUAAUGUGAUGUAAGGAACGGAAUAUUAAACGGGGAGUUAUUUUAUAAAAUGUUAAGUAUUUCGAAUUGAAAAAAAGUCGCGCGAAUGGUGUUCAUUUUUGUGACAUUAGCGUGUCUGUUACGCAGCUAAGUUCAUGUUAUAAAUCACGCUUUAAUUCCAUUCGAUUCGAUUUGUAUUUGAAUAGUUUACACUACGAGCAAUUAGUGAUUAUCAAUCGGUAUAAUCUUGUAAUUUUUUAACGGCAUAAAAUAGAUAGACGCGUAAAAACAUCAAAAUAAUUUAUCGCAGUUGUUUUCUCACAGGUGAGACACAAUUCGCGAGCGAGAUAGGUUGAGCGGACUUAUAUGAAAAAAUGUCUAGACGAUGUUAACGCAUUAAUGUAAAACAGCGGAUUGCGAUACAGAUAACGAGUGCGCGCAACACGAGUUUGAAACGAAUUGCCGAGAUCACGACGAGAUAAAAGAAAGGGGAAUCGAGAUAUAAAGAGAGAAAAAAAAUCUCGCGAAUACUGCGAGGAGUACGUGAGGGCAGUACGCGAGGGGAUAUUAAUGCGCUCUCGGAUCGGACUUGGCCGGAGGCAGAGCAACGCUAACCGAACUUCAAUCGAAUUAACAUACGAAUGGCACUCGAGUCAAUUGCGAAACUUUCAUUUUAGCCGAGCAACAGCCUAAAAAAGCCUCUCCGCUUUCUGUUUUCGACAAAUACUUCGCUACGGAGUCGUGUUCGACAACUUUGCGAUUAUUCGCUAGAUGACUAGAAAUUUAAUUAUUUAUUUAAAAUUGGUCUUAACGUAUUAUCUUUCAGUUACUUAAUAGGACGAUAUUUGACAAGUUGAUGUUUUUGCAAAAAAAAAAAAAAA